This 308-nucleotide ribosomal RNA is filed under the name Shigella flexneri. RNAcentral describes it as "bacterial SSU rRNA". It matches the Rfam family "Bacterial small subunit ribosomal RNA", at positions 1 to 305 of the family's 1533-position model. The record is from RNAcentral. Lineage: Bacteria; Pseudomonadati; Pseudomonadota; Gammaproteobacteria; Enterobacterales; Enterobacteriaceae.
AAAUUGAAGAGUUUGAUCAUGGCUCAGAUUGAACGCUGGCGGCAGGCCUAACACAUGCAAGUCGAACGGUAACAGGAAACAGCUUGCUGUUUCGCUGACGAGUGGCGGACGGGUGAGUAAUGUCUGGGAAACUGCCCGAUGGAGGGGGAUAACUACUGGAAACGGUAGCUAAUACCGCAUAACGUCGCAAGACCAAAGAGGGGGACCUUCGAGCCUCUUGCUAUCGGAUGUGCCCAGAUGGGAUUAGCUAGUAGGUGGGGUAACGGCUCACCUAGGCGACGAUCCCUAGCUGGUCUGAGAGGAUGACC